AGGGGAGUGAAAAAGAACCUGAAACCGUGUACGUACAAGCAGUGGGAGCCUCUUUUAUGGGGUGACUGCGUACCUUUUGUAUAAUGGGUCAGCGACUUAUAUUCUGUAGCAAGGUUAACCGAAUAGGGGAGCCGAAGGGAAACCGAGUCUUAACUGGGCGUUAAGUUGCAGGGUAUAGACCCGAAACCCGGUGAUCUAGCCAUGGGCAGGUUGAAGGUUGGGUAACACUAACUGGAGGACCGAACCGACUAAUGUUGAAAAAUUAGCGGAUGACUUGUGGCUGGGGGUGAAAGGCCAAUCAAACCGGGAGAUAGCUGGUUCUCCCCGAAAGCUAUUUAGGUAGCGCCUCGUGAAUUCAUCUCCGGGGGUAGAGCACUGUUUCGGCAAGGGGGUCAUCCCGACUUACCAACCCGAUGCAAACUGCGAAUACCGGAGAAUGUUAUCACGGGAGACACACGGCGGGUGCUAACGUCCGUCGUGAAGAGGGAAACAACCCAGACCGCCAGCUAAGGUCCCAAAGUCAUGGUUAAGUGGGAAACGAUGUGGGAAGGCCCAGACAGCCAGGAUGUUGGCUUAGAAGCAGCCAUCAUUUAAAGAAAGCGUAAUAGCUCACUGGUCGAGUCGGCCUGCGCGGAAGAUGUAACGGGGCUAAACCAUG
RNAcentral lists this ribosomal RNA (658 nucleotides) under Escherichia coli. RNAcentral's name for it is "partial 23S ribosomal RNA". It matches the Rfam family "Bacterial large subunit ribosomal RNA", at positions 532 to 1191 of the family's 2925-position model. Lineage: Bacteria; Pseudomonadati; Pseudomonadota; Gammaproteobacteria; Enterobacterales; Enterobacteriaceae. The record is from RNAcentral.